AUGAGGGGAGUCUUCUGGAAUGUAAGAGGUAUAGGACAAGAUCACAAAAAAAGAUAUGUUAGGGAAAUGAUUAUGGAUCAGAAACUGGACUUUAUUGGACUCUCUGAGACCAUAAAGCAAGACUUCACAAAAAAUGAGCUACAUAAUUUG
Molecule: ribosomal RNA, 150 nt
Filed under: Triticum aestivum (bread wheat)
Lineage: Eukaryota; Viridiplantae; Streptophyta; Magnoliopsida; Poales; Poaceae
Description: partial small subunit ribosomal RNA
Source: RNAcentral